Molecule: ribosomal RNA, 412 nt
Filed under: uncultured bacterium
Lineage: Bacteria
Description: bacterial SSU rRNA
Rfam family: Bacterial small subunit ribosomal RNA
Source: RNAcentral
ACUCCUACGGGAGGCAGCAGUGGGGAAUCUUGGACAAUGGGCGCAAGCCUGAUCCAGCCAUGCCGCGUGAGUGAUGAAGGCCUUAGGGUCGUAAAGCUCUUUCGCCAGGGAUGAUAAUGACAGUACCUGGUAAAGAAACCCCGGCUAACUCCGUGCCAGCAGCCGCGGUAAUACGGAGGGGGUUAGCGUUGUUCGGAAUUACUGGGGCGUAAAGCGCGCGUAGGCGGAUCGGAAAGUUGGGGGUGAAAUCCCGGGGGCUCAACCCCGGAACUGCCUCCAAAACUAUCGGUCUAGAGUUCGAGAGAGGUGAGUGGAAUUCCGAGUGUAGAGGUGAAAUUCGUAGAUAUUCGGAGGAACACCAGUGGCGAAGGCGGCUCACUGGCUCGAUACUGACGCUGAGGUGCGAAGUAGU